CCUACGGGUGGCAGCAGUGGGGAAUAUUGGGCAAUGGGCGCAAGCCUGACCCAGCAACGCCGCGUGAAGGAAGAAGGCUUUCGGGUUGUAAACUUCUUUUGUCAGGGACGAAGCAAGUGACGGUACCUGACGAAUAAGCCACGGCUAACUACGGGCCAGCAGCCGCGGUAAUACGUAGGUGGCAAGCGUUAUCCGGAUUUACUGGGUGUAAAGGGCGUGUAGGCGGGACUGCAAGUCAGAUGUGAAACCGAUGGGCUCAACCUGUGGCCUGCAUUGGAAACUGUAAUUCUUGAGUGCUGGGGAGGCAGACGGAAUUCCGAGUGUAGCGGGGAAAUGCGUAGAUAUUAGGAGGAACACCAGUGGCGAAGGCGGAUUGCUGGACAGUAACUGACGCUGAGGCGCGAAAGCGUGGGGAGCAAACAGGAUUAGAUACCCGAGUAGUC
RNAcentral lists this ribosomal RNA (443 nucleotides) under uncultured bacterium. RNAcentral describes it as "partial 16S ribosomal RNA". It matches the Rfam family "Bacterial small subunit ribosomal RNA", at positions 338 to 795 of the family's 1533-position model. The record is from RNAcentral.